UAAAAGAAAAAUUGGCUGUCUAGUGUGGGC
Molecule: non-coding RNA, 30 nt
Filed under: Mus musculus (house mouse)
Lineage: Eukaryota; Metazoa; Chordata; Mammalia; Rodentia; Muridae
Source: RNAcentral